AUUGUGGAACUGGUCUCGCAGUAACAGCAACAGUAAGGAGAGUUUUGAAUUCCUUGUAGACACUGGAAGCAUAAGGAGCGCGUAUUGAACUAGGAGAACUGCUCCACCUCAUAUGGCAAAUCUGAGCCUUCCCCCUCUGUCCUCUCACUUUCCCUGUGAGCGAAGGUCAGCUGUGUUCCGCCAUUUUGGAAAGAAAAUCCUGGGCCCAAAGCUUUUCUGCUGGUAAGAGCUGCUCAGGCUACAGCAAGGUUUGGUGCAAAUUUCAGUGGAUCUUCAGUCACAAGGUCUGUCCUGGAUAUUCUAAUUGCUUGAAACAAGGAAGAGGUGAUUGUGUGUCUACCCAGAAGUAUAAGUUGAAGAAGACUUUGAUGAUGAACCUGAGGAGGACUUUGAUAUGGUGCACGAACCAGAACCCCAGGCUGGGCCUUGCGCUCCUGAGAGGGAAACCAUGCCCCCAAGAGGGCAGGAGCAGCACCCCAGAGAGUGCAGGGGUAGACGGAGAAGGGGCCUGGAGGGCCUGCUCAUAGGGAUGGACAGGAGAAGCCAGGAGUAAUUUGAGUUCCUUAAAGGAAGGGAGGAGCAGUGUCUUCAGCAGGAGAAGAGACCUCUGGAGAUGGAGGUAAGCCACGCCCUAGGGAACUGGAACGAUCCCUAAUGGAGAGGCUUCGAGGAUUGGUGGCUGACAGACUGCAGCAUCUGUCUGCUGCUGAGGCCCCAGAACCAGCCCAUCAGCUGCCAUUGCUGCUGCCUUCUCUGGUUGCCACCCAGGGUGCUGCUGAGCCUGUAGAUCUUGUUCCAAUGACCACCCA
This is a long non-coding RNA of Dermochelys coriacea (leatherback sea turtle), 809 nucleotides long. RefSeq lists it as uncharacterized. The transcript is spliced from 5 exons. Lineage: Eukaryota; Metazoa; Chordata; Testudines; Dermochelyidae. The record is from RefSeq and is a predicted model, not a curated record.